GACGAACGCUGGCGGCGUGCUUAACACAUGCAAGUCGAACGGGAAGGCCCUGCUUUUGUGGGGUGCUCGAGUGGCGAACGGGUGAGUAACACGUGAGUAACCUGCCCUUGACUUUGGGAUAACUUCAGGAAACUGGGGCUAAUACCGGAUAGGAGCUCCUGCUGCAUGGUGGGGGUUGGAAAGUUUCGGCGGUUGGGGAUGGACUCGCGGCUUAUCAGCUUGUUGGUGGGGUAGUGGCUUACCAAGGCUUUGACGGGUAGCCGGCCUGAGAGGGUGACCGGCCACAUUGGGACUGAGAUACGGCCCAGACUCCUACGGGAGGCAGCAGUGGGGAAUAUUGCACAAUGGGCGGAAGCCUGAUGCAGCAACGCCGCGUGCGGGAUGACGGCCUUCGGGUUGUAAACCGCUUUCGCCUGUGACGAAGCGUGAGUGACGGUAAUGGGUAAAGAAGCACCGGCUAACUACGUGCCUGCAGCCGCGGUGAUACGUAGGGUGCGAGCGUUGUCCGGAUUUAUUGGGCGUAAAGGGCUCGUAGGUGGUUGAUCGCGUCGGAAGUGUAAUCUUGGGGCUUAACCCUGAGCGUGCUUUCGAUACGGGUUGACUUGAGGAAGGUAGGGGAGAAUGGAAUUCCUGGUGGAGCGGUGGAAUGCGCAGAUAUCAGGAGGAACACCAGUGGCGAAGGCGGUUCUCUGGGCCUUUCCUGACGCUGAGGAGCGAAAGCGUGGGGAGCGAACAGGCUUAGAUACCCUGGUAGUCCACGCUGUAAACGGUGGGUACUAGGUGUGGGGUCCAUUCCACGGGUUCCGUGCCGUAGCUAACGCUUUAAGUACCCCGCCUGGGGAGUACGGCCGCAAGGCUAAAACUCAAAGGAAUUGACGGGGCCCCGCACAAGCGGCGGAGCAUGCGGAUUAAUUCGAUGCAACGCGUAGAACCUUACCUGGGUUUGACAUGGAUCGGGAGUGCUCAGAGAUGGGUGUGCCUCUUUUGGGGUCGGUUCACAGGUGGUGCAUGGCUGUCGUCAGCUCGUGUCGUGAGAUGUUGGGUUAAGUCCCGCAACGAGCGCAACCCUUGUUCACUGUUGCCAGCACGUUAUGGUGGGGACUCAGUGGAGACCGCCGGGGUCAACUCGGAGGAAGGUGGGGAUGACGUCAAGUCAUCAUGCCCCUUAUGUCCAGGGCUUCACGCAUGCUACAAUGGCUGGUACAGAGAGUGGCGAGCCUGUGAGGGUGAGCGAAUCUCGGAAAGCCGGUCUCAGUUCGGAUUGGGGUCUGCAACUCGACCUCAUGAAGUCGGAGUCGCUAGUAAUCGCAGAUCAGCAACGCUGCGGUGAAUACGUUCCCGGGGCU
RNAcentral lists this ribosomal RNA (1346 nucleotides) under uncultured bacterium. RNAcentral describes it as "partial 16S ribosomal RNA". It matches the Rfam family "Bacterial small subunit ribosomal RNA", at positions 28 to 1381 of the family's 1533-position model. The record is from RNAcentral.